RNAcentral lists this ribosomal RNA (444 nucleotides) under uncultured bacterium. RNAcentral describes it as "SSU rRNA". It matches the Rfam family "Bacterial small subunit ribosomal RNA", at positions 26 to 518 of the family's 1533-position model. The record is from RNAcentral.
AGAACGAACGCUGGCGGCAGGCUUAACACAUGCAAGUCGAGCGCCCCGCAAGGGGAGCGGCAGACGGGUGAGUAACGCGUGGGAAUCUACCCAGAACUACGGAAUAGCUUCGGGAAACUGGAAUUAAUACCGUAUACGCCCUACGGGGGAAAGAUUUAUCGGUUCUGGAUGAGCCCGCGUUGGAUUAGCUAGUUGGUGGGGUAAUGGCCUACCAAGGCGACGAUCCAUAGCUGGUCUGAGAGGAUGAUCAGCCACACUGGGACUGAGACACGGCCCAGACUCCUACGGGAGGCAGCAGUGGGGAAUAUUGGACAAUGGGCGAAAGCCUGAUCCAGCCAUGCCGCGUGAGUGAUGAAGGCCUUAGGGUUGUAAAGCUCUUUCAGUGGGGAAGAUAAUGACGGUACCCACAGAAGAAGCCCCGGCUAACUUCGCGCCAGCAGCCGC